Oreochromis niloticus (Nile tilapia) is the source of this 545-nucleotide long non-coding RNA. RefSeq lists it as uncharacterized. The transcript is spliced from 2 exons. Lineage: Eukaryota; Metazoa; Chordata; Actinopteri; Cichliformes; Cichlidae. The record is from RefSeq and is a predicted model, not a curated record.
CACGUGUCUCUUUCACGAGCGGCUUUGAACAGCGUGAAAAAAUAGACUGGGCAAAAAUAAUACCCGCAUGCGCUCUUGGUCGCCGUGUCGUAGUGGAGAAAUGAUUCAUUCAUUCACACAGGAGUGGCGCUUGGGAGAUUGAAAUGCACAGUUUAUGCUCUAAGUUUGUGAAAAUCAGUCAAAUUCAUAUUUGGACUUUCGCAUUUUUAAGUCAUUAGAUUACAGGGAGACUGCUGUAAUUUGUCUGGAUGUGCGUAAAAAGCUUAUUGAUAGCAUUUCUAAGAGAAUGUACCUGUGAUAUGAUAGUAAUGAUCGCAUUUUUCAUGGGUGAAGAGUUGCUGCUGUAGUUUCAGAAUAAAAGAAGCAAUCGUGUUUAGUUUUAACAACAUUUUAAAAAAAGUCAAAGUCACAUUUUCGGUUACUUUCGAUCUUCCUGUGUGCACCACGCUGUGUGUUUUUGCAUCAUAAGAAAGAAUAAAAUUAGUGUGUUCAUGUGUGCUGGACUGUCACGGUGAUCUUCCUGACCUCUGCCCUUUUGUUAAUGU